UUUAAUUGCUUCUAUAGUCCUGCAACUUUAGAAGGUUGCUGCUCUUGGCCCUAAAAUGUAGGAUUCUUCCAGUAACAGGGGUCAUUCUGAGUGGAGGAGAAGAGAGCAAAUGCGCAACUUGGUAAAAGAUAAAGGGAGAAAGGAGAGAAGGGAAAUCAGGGAGCCAAGGAAACAACUGAAAAGCACGAAAAGCUUUCACAGAGCAAAGAUCUUGUCUCUCGGGUGAGGGUGGAAUCCCGCUGUCUUUUCCAGCCCUGUGCCUGGACAUCCUCGAAUCCAAAGCACAACUCCCUGCUGGCUUGCAUCCUGCCUAGAUAUAUAAAUUAUUUGGGGGAAAAAUUCCUAGAGUCAAGGUUAACAGAAAACAGCUGGGAAGCGAACCAUGAACCAUAUGUCAUGAUUUUCUCAAAGUACAGAGAGGUUUUUAAACUGUUUUUGAGAAGUCAGCAUCCCAAACCAAGCAGGAUAAAUCAAGGACUUUAUGUGAUCUCUACACACAGGAAAAUAAAUAUGAUGAAGGCCAUAACUGUGUCAGUCCAGCGAAGGGGAGGACCAAACAUUAAAAACUCCUGUCUCUACUGUAAAAGCCCCACUCUAAAUUAUGUAUGUAAUUGUGACGACUCUCCACUUCUCUUAUGCAUAGCUGGCAGAGGGGUGAUUUCAUUUUAGAGCAUAUUUGUGUUUAGAUUUCAUAAACCAGAAAGUUCAUAAUAUAAACUAUCACGGUCUUGUAUGAAGCAUAUAGUAUCGGCACAUUAGAGAAAAACUGGUUAUACUAAAGGGCCUGAGAAGAAGAAUAUCACGGGCCUUAAUAAUCAUCUAAACAUUAUUUUUUUAUGUAUAUGCGUUCUCAUUUUUUUCUUGUGUUGUUUAGCUGUGUAGUUUGCUUUCCUUAUUUAAUAGAGCAAAGAUCUUCCAAUAUAGGGGCGCUGUGUUGAAUACUCCCCCAGGGGCCUGAAAACCACACCUUCCUUUCUACAGAAGUUGUGUGUGUAUAUGCAUAGGUGUGUGCACGCGUGUGUGCCUGUGUGGGGAGAGAGAGAUAACUGAGGCUCCUCCCAUGGCCCUGCCACAGAGAGGAGCUGUGGGCAAGUGGUGGCCAGGUUGGGGGAGGGGAGGGAGGCACCAGAAGGGCGGCAGCAGUGUUUGGAGUGAAAUAAUAGUGAUGCUUGCACAACCACCCCGCGUACUAAAACCCGCCAAACCGGUCUUUCUUCUCUCAUUUCAUUUUAUUCGAUUCUGAUUUUUGAGAUAAAGUGUCACUUGACAGCCCAGGCUGCUUGGAACUCUGUUCAUCCUGUCUCAGCCUCCUGGGUGCUGGGAUCCUAGGUGUGUGCCACCGUGCCCUGCAAGUUUACUCUACAGAGAUGGAGUGAGCUACACCAACACCGUGUCUCGCAGCAAUAUCCAGCCAAAUUCCAGUGAAGAUGUGCAAAGGCACUGGACACACAUCAGUCCUGGAUGCUAGAAGCAGCCUCUUAAAUGUGCGAGAAGAACUUGGGAACGGAGAAAUUUGAACUUUGGUGUUCCGAUACAUUUCCUACCAAGAGAUAAUAUUUGGCAUUUAAUGUUGUGACAAAAGCCUUAGUGGUUAGAUAAUCUGUUUCCAAAUGUGUUGCUUCACGUGUGGCCAGAGAGGAUGAGGAUGGUGCUGAGUUUCUUUAGAAAUCAUUAUGGAUCUGUUGCAAACCAUAGUUUGUACUCCUGGGCAGAGAUUCCUUCUGGUUAGGAUUACUGUCCAGAUACCUCACAGGAGGAGGCUAUGUGGUGAAGGAGGACUAUGUGGUUGGGGGCCAUCAAUGUUGACUGAAUAAGCCAACAAAUAGAAUAAACAAACGGGUCGUAUAAAAUGAGCCUCUAUGUGAUGCAAGACAGAGUUAUAGGCACAAAGACACAUAGAAAGAUUUGUAGAAUGUAGUGCUUGCCCCAAAGAGCUUACCAUGGCAAGUAAGACAGGGAGACAGUUAAUCCUGAUACAAAGCAGAAUAUAGUAAGUUGUCAAGGACCAGAUUUACGAACCACAGAGAAAUUACUUCCACCUGGACAGCUGCAAUGUCAUGAAAAAUAAGAAGAGCAAAGUAAAAAUUUGCAAACUUUCCUUCAAGACUGUGUAAGAGAGGCCUUCAGGUGACUUCAAGUGAUUUCCAGGCACUAAUGAAGACAAGAAAAUGUCUCUGGCUCUAUCAAUGCCUGGAUUAAAAAAAAAUACUAAGGUUCUUAAUGAUCUUGGACAUUAUAAGCCUCAGAUUCUCUAGAGUCAUCCAAAUUUUCAAAUUUCUUUUUUCUUUUUUGUGUGCAUCAGGGGUUGAACCCAGGGCCUUUGCAUGCAGGUAUAUCUCUGGCCCUUUUUGAUUUGGAGACAGGUUGUCACUAGAUUGCCCGGGUUUUUCUCAAACUUUCAAUCUCCUGAAAACACGAUUUCAGAAGCUUCUAAGAUGAGUACUACACUCUGGGUAGGAAGCGGAGGCAGGAGGAUCACCAUUUGAACUCAGCCUGUACGACUUAGAAAUCUCACAAAACCCUGCUGUUUCAAAAUUUUAAAAGUGCCAAGACUGUAAUUCAGUGCAAAGGGCCUGGGUUCAGUCCUCGGUCCUGGAGACAAGCAAACGCAGCACACAGGGGCAUCAUCGACCUUGUGGAACUGUCUGCACGGCGCAGCAGCUUGACCAGAAACAGGAGGCCGCUGCUCCAACUCCUCUGCACAGAUUUCUGUCUGACAGCAAAGUUUAGUGCGCUAGAAAAAUAGCAUUUGGUGAAGCCUUAGAUACAAAAAACAUUAAAAAGCUGGGCUUAGAGCCACAUACCUGGAAUCCCAGCACUUGGGAGGCUGAGGCAGGAGGAUUGUCACCAGUUCGAGGCCAGCCUGAACUAUAUAGUAAGUUUAAGGCCACCAUGGAUUACAUAGAGAGACCCUAUCUGAAAAAAAUAAAAACAGCAAAAAAAAAAAAACAUUAAAAUAUUUCCUGGACCAAAUACAUGUUUUUACAACAGUGUGGCCAAGGCUGUCAUAAUGGCCUUAAAAUUGAUACCUGGAGAAGAUUGCACAAUUUGAAAACAGUCAGACACAGCUGGAUUUGUGCAGCCAGCCCAUUAAACUGACAUGAGCCAGCUUCAGGAUGUCUCUUUUUGUUUGAUCAGAACAGAGCACAUUAGCCAUAAUUACUGUAUCGCUUAAGACACCUUCACAGUUUUCUAUGAUUCCGUGGUACACCUCUAAAACUGCACUACCCUGAGUUAGGAACUUACAGAGGAACAAAGGCUUUGGUUGAAGCAUAUAGCAAAAAGUCUAAUCUGCGCUAAUUUUAAAAAUAAAAUGUGUGGCGCUCUGAUGACAGUGGCCUAAUUUAGGAAAAGAGAAUCAUUCACACAGGCACCGCGGAUGCUCAUCUCCCAGUGCAACCCCUCCCACUCCUAGGCCCCAGAGAAUGCUGGGAAGAGGGUCUUCCCCUCCCUGACCUCCCAGAGCUGGGCUCCAUCCCGCUCUGUCCCCCCCCCCACAGGCCACAGUGUCUCCAUGCUCCUCACCCUUCUUUCAGUGUCAAGCCAUGCAUUCUCAACUAAACCUUAAAUUUUAAGAAACCACUUCCUUGUUUGGACUCUGGGCCUGAUGAUUUAGCUCAGCAGCAUAAGGACCUGCCUGAUAAACACAAGGUCCUGAGUUCAAUUCCUGAUACUCCCCCCACGAAAAAACUCUGGAUUCAUUCUAGACCCUGUUGAGAGUUUAAUUUUCAUGCACCAGCAAGUUUCCCAAAGUCCAGCACACGUUUGGCUCUGUAGGAAAUGACAGAAACACUUAAGACUGCAAACCAGCAAGCCAGCAGCGCAGACCAUGAGCAUCAUGGGGUGUUGUCUUCUUCCAAAGGAAACCUUGGCUUUCCAACAGUAGGUGGUAGGCAUGCCUCAAACAGGAAAGGACUUGCAUUAUCACCCACGAAUGAUGGCACUGACGUGGCUCCUGCCCUCCAAGGAGGCAGGCGACAGGGACAUACCUUCCUCUUAGGGGUGUGAGAAGUUCCUGGAGUGGAGCUCCAGCAGGUGCUGCAGCAAACUCUGAGGCUGUGCAAGGAACAGUCGCUUGCACGCCAAGCUCUAAUGCUGCACAGAGAAUCAGGCUGAACACUGAUCCUUCCACAUGCUCUCUGCCGUGAAAAUAAUGUUUCAAUUGUGUGGCCCCAGAACACCCUUUCUCUUUAAGAAGGUCUAAGUCACUCAGAAGCGCUCUCUGUCCCUCCCCUUCUCGCUCCACCCCAUUAAUAGUACGGACUUGCAGCUACCUCAAAGUGUUGCUGGAAGGAUUCAUAAAUAUAUUCAGUGCUUUGAAGAUGAAAAGCGAUCCAUAAAUGCUUAAGUAUUACUAUAAAGUUCAAUAAAUGGCUCAGAGCAUGUGAUCAAGACGGAAUGCAUGUGAAUACUCAAUCCACGGAGAGCCCAACAGCUAAAGAAGCUUCAGCUGAGACUCAUAACCCACAGAGCACUGAGCCUUUAAUAUCACCGGAUGUGUUAGAGCAAUCCACGCACGUCUCUCAUUUUACAGACAGAGGAGGAGCUCACAUGCGGCCAGUCCAGGAGCAUUCAGAGGGACAGACACCAGGGACCUGGAGCCUCCCCUCUUCAGGGCUAACUCUGCCCCCACGCUCACAUCUAUGUUCAAGGUGUCAGACUGGGCAUGAAGAGGUGCGCCUGUACCCCAGCACUCAACAGGUAGAGGCAGGAGCAUGGGGAGUUCCAGGCCAGCCUAGGCUACAGGAAGAGAGCUUGUCUCAAAACUAAUUAAAUAAAUACUGUUAAAAAGCUA
Cavia porcellus (domestic guinea pig) is the source of this 4795-nucleotide long non-coding RNA. RefSeq lists it as uncharacterized. Lineage: Eukaryota; Metazoa; Chordata; Mammalia; Rodentia; Caviidae. The record is from RefSeq and is a predicted model, not a curated record. The transcript is spliced from 2 exons.